AGCCACGGUGGCCUAAUGGUUAAUGCGUUGGAUUCCGGUUAGCGCGGUCCGGGUUCGAGCCCUGGCCGGGCUC
Molecule: non-coding RNA, 73 nt
Organism: Desmophyllum pertusum
Lineage: Eukaryota; Metazoa; Cnidaria; Anthozoa; Scleractinia; Caryophylliidae
Source: the annotation of a GenBank genome assembly